RNAcentral lists this unclassified non-coding RNA (2244 nucleotides) under Hevea brasiliensis (rubber tree). Lineage: Eukaryota; Viridiplantae; Streptophyta; Magnoliopsida; Malpighiales; Euphorbiaceae. The record is from RNAcentral.
UCUUCAUAAAAACAAAUACAGAAGGUUCACCGGAAAACAUAUUCGUUGCAAAUCAUCACUACUACAAAAGGUUCACCGGAAACCAUGGCGUCACCGUCGUCGUCGUCGACCAACGUCAUGCUGGCGAUCUUCGAGAAGAAAACCGUAUCACUCGAUCUCUAUCGUCCAUUACGAAACUACAUCGUUUUCAACUACUCCGAACGCGAAGCUCAAAACCUCGAAGAUGAUCUCCAAACUAUCAAACAGUACCGUUCCGAAAUCGAACGUGUUCCCGGCGAUUCGCUACCUGCUCGCCGUGACAUGUUGCAAAAUUACUAUAAAGCCCUCUGCGCUGUUGAAUCUCGCUUCCCUAUAUCGCCUGAUAAGGAUCAUAUCAAUUCCGUUUAUUUUACUUGGUACGAUACUUUCAAGAUCAAGCAGAAAGCUGUGCAGCAGAACAUUCAUCUAGAGAAAGCUGCAGUUUUGUUUAAUCUAGGGGCAGUGCACAGUCAGAUGGGAUUGAGUAUGGAUCGAUCUGCAGUGGAGGGGCGAAGGCAGGCAUCACAUUCCUUCAUUGCUGCAGCUGGGGCAUUUGCCUUCCUGAGAGACAAUGUGGCAAUGAAGGCAUCGAUGGGUACCUCCACCACGGUUGACAUGUCAGUGGAAUGUGCUGGGAUGUUGGAAAGACUCAUGCUAGCGCAGGCUCAGGAGUGUGUUUUUGAGAAUACUAUUGCCAAGGGAAGCACACCUGGAGUCUGUGCAAAGAUUUCAAGACAGGUAGGGAUUUAUUAUGAGGAAGCCUUGGCAGCAUUAAAUGUUGCACCUUUAACCUACCACUUUGACAAGGGUUGGCUGGCUCAUGUUCAGCUAAAGGCUGCCUUGUUUUAUGCUGAGGCCUGCUAUAGGUGCGGUAUGGAGCUCCAUGAGAAAGAAGAAAUUGCAGAGGAAAUUGCGAGGUUGAAGAGUGGGAUAAGUGCAUUAUCGGAGGCCAAAAAAAGUUCUUCCAAAGGAGCAGCACAGCAGCUCUUGGAUGCAAUUAAUAAGCUAGACACUAAUUUAAAUCAAAACUUGGCGAGAGCUGUGAAGGAGAAUGAUAGAGUAUACCUCAUGAGAGUUCCACAAGCCAGUUCUUUGCCUCCUCUUCCAGCAUUUGCGAUGGUCAAACCUAUGCCAAUGAAUGAUGUUCUGGACGCAAGCAAGGAGAAGAUGUUUGCUAGUCUUGUUCCUGAUAACAGUGCUAAAGCUCUGUCCAGGUACACCGAAAUGGUUGAUGACGUCAUUCGGGCUCAAGCUGAGAGAUUGCAACAGGGAAGUGAGCUAGCUCGAGUAAAGCUAAAGGAAAUGGACUUGCCUGAUUCUAUUCUGGCCUUGGAGGGAAAUUUAUCACUACCUGCGGCUCUAAAAGAAGAUGUAGAGGCAGUGCAAAUUUGUGGUGGUCCAGCUGGUUUGGAUGCCGAGAUGCAGCAACUCAGAGAUCUGAAGAGGGUGAACCAGGAGUUGCUGGUCCAAACAGAGGAGCUUUUGCAAAAAGAAGCAACGGAAGAUACACAGUUUAGAACUCAAUUCGGAACCCGAUGGACAAGGCCUCAAUCUACUACCUUAACAAAAAACCUGCAGGAUAGGUUAAACAGGUUUGCAGCAAACCUGAAGCAAGCUGCAGAAAGUGAUGCUAGGAUUGAGCGAUCAGUUAGGGAUCAUGCAGCACUCAUGUCAAUCCUUGACUGUCGUCCAAUCGAAUCUGCUCUUCCAACCUUGGCAAGACCAAUCUUGUCUUUGGACGCCACUGAAGAUGCCAUUGUGGGAGCCCUGAAGCAGAGCCUGAGGCAACUGGAAACUCUUGGUGCUCAGCGUGCCGGUCUGGAAGAUGUGCUGAAAGAGAUGAAGAGGAAGGAUGAUAUACUUCCAAAAUUGAUGACAUUCACGGGCUCCCAGGAGGAUCUUUUCAGGAAGGAGAUAGCAAAAUAUGAUCAUCUUUGUGAAGAAAUUUCUCAAAACCUCGAGGCACAAGAACAGUUGCUUCUGCAAAUUCAGGCUCAAAAUGAUGAGUUUGCUUCUAUUUUCAAUCUUGAAGACUAUAAAGUUUCCCGCGAGAGAAUCUAUAAGCAGAUUGAAGCUGCCAUUAUGAAAUAUCAAGAAAUCAAGGAAAAUAUCAAUGAGGGAUUGAAGUUUUAUGUAACCCUUCAGGAGGCUAUCACUAAUGUGAAACAGCAAUGUAGUGAUUUUGUGAUGACAAGAAACAUGCAGUGCCGAGAAAUGAUUGAAGAU